GAGAAAUCAAAGUUUUUGGGU
RNAcentral lists this non-coding RNA (21 nucleotides) under Arabidopsis thaliana (thale cress). The record is from RNAcentral. Lineage: Eukaryota; Viridiplantae; Streptophyta; Magnoliopsida; Brassicales; Brassicaceae.